Long non-coding RNA from Rosa chinensis, 678 nucleotides. RefSeq lists it as uncharacterized. The transcript is spliced from 2 exons. NCBI's taxonomy places the organism in Eukaryota, Viridiplantae, Streptophyta, Magnoliopsida, Rosales, Rosaceae. The record is from RefSeq and is a predicted model, not a curated record.
CCCUCAAGCCCGUCUAAGCCUCUCUCUCUCUCUCUCUCUCUCUCUCUCCUUCUUCUUCUUCUUCUUCACACGAACACAUACCUCCAAAGAGUGUGAAUGGCGAGGAUCGGUGUACGACUUCUUGAAGCGGUGCUGACUCACCGGUAAUCGGAUCGCUCUAGAUUGUUCAGGUCAAUACGGCGUCAUGCGACUCCACUUCAUCUCUUGAUGUACUCGUCAUGAUCUGUGAGUGUGACGUUGAAAUAGAACGACUCGUUGCGCUCAACGAACUGGAGGCCGAUGAAGGCGUGCUUGCCGAUGCUGUCCUCGAUCUUAAGGACGAAGAAGCGCGACAAGUCGAGCACGGUCUCGACGGAGGUCGUUGGAGUUUGGAUCCUCUGAUCGGAUCUCGCGCCGGUCCUUGCAAGACACUACCCGGAGCUGACUCGUCCAGAUCUUUUGCCUCAGACCUAUGAGACUAAAUUCCCCGAGAGCUGGUAGGAUUAUGCACAUUGGGAAUGUGAAGAAGGCAACUGAUAUGCCUGUUAGUUCCAAUUUUCAGACGAUGGAGUAUUUAAUUGUCCUUGUGGCUUUGUGUAACAAGAAAGAAUGUCAUGUUGAGAUGAGAAAGUUGCAUGUACAUCACUUGGAAUUUUUCAGUCAAUGUAAUGUGAAAUUACAAAUACUGUUUAUAGACUA